Molecule: ribosomal RNA, 233 nt
Filed under: uncultured bacterium
Lineage: Bacteria
Description: partial 16S ribosomal RNA
Rfam family: Bacterial small subunit ribosomal RNA
Source: RNAcentral
CGGGUGAGUAACGCGUGAGGAACCUGCCUCAAAGAGGGGGACAACAGUUGGAAGCGACUGCUAAUACCGCAUAAGCCCACGGCUCGGCAUCGAGCAGAGGGAAAAGGAGCAAUCCGCUUUGAGAUGGCCUCGCGUCCGAUUAGCUAGUUGGUGAGGUAACGGCCCACCAAGGCGACGAUCGGUAGCCGGACUGGGAGGUUGAACGGCCACAUUGGGACUGAGACACGGCCCAG